GACGAACGCUGGCGGCGUGCUUAACACAUGCAAGUCGAACGGUGAACCAGGGCUUGCCCUGGGGAUCAGUGGCGAACGGGUGAGUAACACGUGGGCAACCUGCCCCUGACUCUGGGAUAACUUCGGGAAACCGAAGCUAAUACCGGAUACGACCUCUGACGGCAUCGUCGGAGGUGGCAAGUUUUUCGGUCAGGGAUGGGCCCGCGGCCUAUCAGCUUGUUGGUGGGGUAAUGGCCCACCAAGGCGACGACGGGUAGCCGGCCUGAGAGGGCGACCGGCCACACUGGGACUGAGACACGGCCCAGACUCCUACGGGAGGCAGCAGUGGGGAAUAUUGCGCAAUGGGCGAAAGCCUGACGCAGCGACGCCGCGUGAGGGAUGAAGGCCUUCGGGUUGUAAACCUCUUUCAGCAGGGACGAAGCGAAAGUGACUGUACCUGCAGAAGAAGCACCGGCUAACUACGUGCCAGCCGCCGCCGUAA
Molecule: ribosomal RNA, 481 nt
Filed under: uncultured bacterium
Lineage: Bacteria
Description: partial 16S ribosomal RNA
Rfam family: Bacterial small subunit ribosomal RNA
Source: RNAcentral